GAAACUUGACGUACGAGAGGAAGUACGUCAAAGUGACGUCACAAUUGCAGUUUGUUGAAAUUCUAAAAAUCGGUGUUCUCACGAUCAGUCUAGUUUGAUCAAAUUUUCUGUAUUAAGAGUUGUCUAACUUGUUUGAACUUUCUAAUCCACAAUGAAAAUUGAAAAUGAAAUGAAAAGGCUGGAGUGAGGAGUGCUGAAGGGAGUUGUGACUUUACUUUGUUGUCAAGUACUAAGUAGGGCACCUAUUACCACUGUUCGAGCAUAUCAGGCAGAAAAAAUAGAAAAGAAAGAAUGUAGGCUAGCUGGACUUUUUCCAUGAAAUGAAAGCCCUAAUAAAAACUAAAUUGUGUACAAGAAGACAUUGGGAAAAAUACAUCUAUGAGUGAAAGCAUCAACAGUGCCAACAGAUUAAUUGUUGCUUUACGCUAUGUAGGCACAGGGCUCACAUUAAAAAGGGUAAGCUUUUCCACGACAAUUGCAUAUAAUUUUUCUAAAUUAGCAAUAAAUUUAAUAGCAAAUGGCAGCAUAGGCGUAACCAGGGGGGGGUUUUGGGGGUUAUAACCCCCCCAUUGGGAUGUACUUUGAGCUCUAUACACUUAACACCAUAGCCCUCAGAGGCCUUCCAGUAGUUGUAACCCCCCCCUUUCAGGUAGUUGUAACCCCCCCCUUUCAGGUAGUUGUAACCCCCCCUUAGGAUCAUCCUGGUUACGCCUAUGAAUGGCAGUUUUCACAUUGGGUGCAUUCAGCAGACGCAAUCGCUAACUAAUCGAUUAGUAAUCGAUUUGUGAUUUACAUACUGAAUGUCACAAUUUAUGUGGCAUUCAGCAGAAAAUCACUAAUCGAUUAGUUAGCGAUUGUGUCUGCUGAAUGCACCCAAUGUCUAGAAGCUAUGGAUGGAAACAUGGUGAACUUUCAACCUCUCAGAAGGGAUACUAUAGAAAUUAUAAAGGAACUGACAGCCAUUACUUUUUGCUGUAUUAUAUUAUGCAGAUGGUCAAUUUCUUAUUGCAGAUAUAAGAAGAAAUGAUCCAAAUAUAUCAGAUUUGAAUUUCAGAUUUUUUAAUAGCUAUUGGUGCAGUUAGCAACAUUCGGCUGUGAAUAAGUUUAAAAUGUAAAUUAUUUUAGUGCGUUUUUAGUUAAACCUUAUUGUAUAUUUGAAGAUUUACAAUUAUUAUUACACUGAUAAUUAAUAUAAUUAGUUUUAUUAAUAUUAUGAGUGGCCAAAAUAAAUAAAA
Molecule: long non-coding RNA, 1235 nt
Organism: Diabrotica virgifera virgifera (western corn rootworm)
Lineage: Eukaryota; Metazoa; Arthropoda; Insecta; Coleoptera; Chrysomelidae
Exons: 2
Source: RefSeq, a predicted model, not a curated record